AUGAGUUGCUCAGUAUGGAACUGUCGUGGGGCUGGCAAACCUACGACAGUUCAUGAACUUCGAGACCUCUCGAAGCAAUAUGCCCCCUCUAUAUUGUGUAUUCUUGAAACUCAGAUCGAGGGCUCACGAGUUGAGAAUCUGGUAGGAACCUUAGGGUAUGAUAAAAGUUUUGAUGUAAGCAGCUCCGAAAGGAGCGGUGGAUUAGGUAUCUUUUGGAAGGAAGAAAUAAAACUUGAAGUUAUUGGUUAA
RNAcentral lists this ribosomal RNA (249 nucleotides) under Triticum aestivum (bread wheat). RNAcentral describes it as "partial small subunit ribosomal RNA". The record is from RNAcentral. Lineage: Eukaryota; Viridiplantae; Streptophyta; Magnoliopsida; Poales; Poaceae.